RNAcentral lists this transfer RNA (63 nucleotides) under Rollulus rouloul (Crested partridge). RNAcentral's name for it is "partial tRNA-Phe". The record is from RNAcentral. Lineage: Eukaryota; Metazoa; Chordata; Aves; Galliformes; Phasianidae.
CUAUAGCUUAAUUACAAAGCAUAGCACUGAAGAUGCUAAGAUGGUACCCAUCUACCUAGGGGC